AAGACGACAUACUCUCUU
RNAcentral lists this small nuclear RNA (18 nucleotides) under Arabidopsis thaliana (thale cress). RNAcentral's name for it is "snRNA_06017". Lineage: Eukaryota; Viridiplantae; Streptophyta; Magnoliopsida; Brassicales; Brassicaceae. The record is from RNAcentral.